This 1450-nucleotide long non-coding RNA is filed under the name Phaseolus vulgaris (common bean). RNAcentral's name for it is "long non-coding RNA (PVUL_LNC004702)". The record is from RNAcentral. Lineage: Eukaryota; Viridiplantae; Streptophyta; Magnoliopsida; Fabales; Fabaceae.
UUGGAGUGAUUUUGAAAACGUGUGCGCGGAAAACAGUACGUUGUUGGAAGAAUUGCUAACCGAGGAGUUGCGAUUUCUGGCGAAACCGAUUAACGGAGAAGACUACCGGAACAGUGCCUUGCGUUUAGGUUUUGAAAUCGAAAAUGAAUUUGAAGCGAUUUGCUGGAAAAUUUGAGAUUGAGCGAACACGAACCAACGAGGAACUGUAGUAUUUCGUAUGAAUUGAUUCAUGUAAGUUCCUGCUUCCGUUUUUGUUUUCAAUUCCGAAAAUUCGUUUUCUGUGUUCUGUUUGUUGUUUUCUUUUUCUUCUCACUGCAAAAUUCAUCUUUAAACUUGUUGCUUGAAACGAAGAACUGUAUUGAGAAAUUACGAUGAGGAGAUUGGAACCGUAAAGAUAAAAAAUUAUUAGGUGAUUCCGCAAAUCGUUGGUGAUUUUGAGUGAUUACUGGAAAAUUGAGUGAGUCGUUGGUGAUUCAGUGGAAGUGUUUAAGAGGAGCGCGAAUCUUUGUGUAUUUGGAACAGUUUUUACAAGUGCUUUCUUGUUGUUCUUUCUGGAAAUUAUUGCGAUUUAAAUCGUAUUUAUGUAAAAACUAAUUUUUUAAAUAUAUAAAUUAUUUUUUGAUAAAAAAGUUUAAUGUUUUUAAUAAGUCAAACAAAUAAAAUAAAAUUUAAUGUUUUGAAUAAGUCAAACUCAAACUUUAUUUAAAUUUAAUAGAAUAAGUUAGUUAAAGUUGAAUAAUUAUUUUUUUGCGCCAAAUUUAAAUUUCAAAAGUUGGUUCCACUAGAAUUAGCUGAAUACAAAGAGCACUAUAAAUAUGUGUAUGAGAAUUAUUAUAAGCAUUAUGAUAAAAACAGGCUUCAACUAUUCAAAAGAGAAGAGAAGUUCAACGGAUUACGUCCAAUCAAACUAAGUUUUCUUCUUCCUUUUCAUAUUUUAAAUUUUCAUGUUUUUCUUUGAUUUGAAUAUGAAGUUUAUGUAUAUGCAAUCUGAUUAAAAGAUAUGAAUAUUGCAGUACUAUUGCAAUCAUUACCUGCAUUCUUUUUCCAAACCCAUAUCAUUUUCUAAGAUCUCCUUUUCAUGUGGAAACAACAUUUUUGAAAUUUUACCUGACAUCUUAUAAGUUCUUCUGUCUUUUAAAUUAAUUUCGCAAUUCCCUAAGCCUGGAAUUUUUAAAUUAAUUUUAAUUUUAAUUUUAAACUUGUAAAUUUUAUAUUUUUUGAUAUAAAUUGAGAAGAAAACACUGGUUUUUAUUGGUAUCCCUUAUUGAUCAAUGUCUAACAAUUAAUAUGGUUUUUUUUUUCUUUGUUCGAAUUAGUUCUUCCAAAGCCAAGAAGAUUGGGGGAAGCAAGAUUUGCAUUCAAAUAAGGUUUGUACAUCGAGAAACAAAGUUAAACAACUUUUGAUUUUUUUGUCAUCUCUUUCUUUCAAGAUUUUAUUUUAUUUUUUGCC